This 262-nucleotide unclassified non-coding RNA is filed under the name plant metagenome. RNAcentral's name for it is "partial contains small subunit ribosomal RNA, internal transcribed spacer 1, and 5.8S ribosomal RNA". The record is from RNAcentral.
UUUCCGUAGGUGAACCUGCGGAAGGAUCAUUAUCGAGUUUUGACUGGGUUGUAGCGGGCCUUCCGAGGCAUGUGCACGCCCUGCUCAUCCACUCUACACCUGUGCGCUUACUGUGGGUAUCAGAUCGUGAAGCGUGCUCUUUUACCGGAGCUUGUGAAGCGUGUCUGUGCCUGCGUUUAUCACAAACACUAUAAAGUAUCAGAAUGUGUAUUACGAUGUACGCAUCUAUAUACAACUUUCAGCAACGGAUCUCUUGGCUCUC